GACAGGCAGAAACAAUAAUAUUCACAUUCUUGGAGGCUACGGCUUGGCUCUACUCUUCUUGGAGAGGCAAAUCUGGCCAUUGAGGCUUCUAAGUGGGAGAGUUUCCUUGCAUGUGAAGCCACACAAAAGAAAGCAGAACUGAGGAAAAGAGACAGAGUCCUAUCAACAUGGCCCGUACAUGGCUGUUAUGUCUGGCAAUGCCUGGAACCAUACCGUAAUAACUUAAUUGUUAUAUUUUCAAUUUUAGAUUGCACAUUUUUUAGAAAUCAAGUCAGUAGAUUUGAGUACCGGUUCCAGUUGGAGUUUUUAGUAUCUGCAACAGAAAGCGGUCAGGGAAAUAUAUAAUAUUAAUGAUUUUUUUUUACAAUUUCAUUUUUAUUUUUUAGAAAAUCUUCAAGAGAAAGUACCUGGGAGGGGUCUCAGAUUCAGAAAUGAUCAUUCCCUCUCUGAAUAAAUACUUUAAUUUAUAUGCUUCAUUAUGAAAACUAUUCUGCUCUGGAGAAGCAUUCACUUCUGGGUAAUAAAAGCUCUAUGAACUGUGAGGAACAUGGAGCCACAAGAUGGAAGUAUGAAGGAAUGUCACAGAACACUGGACAUUUAUCCAUCCCCAAAGUGAGGUUCACUCCUGCCUGCAACAAGACCAAACCUCCAGGGGUCCUUCCAUAUAUACAGCUCCUACACCAGCUCCAAGGACACCAACCAGGGAUGCCAAGCAGGAUGGAUAGAGGCAUUUCCCACCCCCAGAGAAACAGCAG
Molecule: long non-coding RNA, 755 nt
Filed under: Cricetulus griseus (Chinese hamster)
Lineage: Eukaryota; Metazoa; Chordata; Mammalia; Rodentia; Cricetidae
Description: lncRNA (ENSCGRG00000025480.1)
Source: RNAcentral